GUGGGGAAUUUUGGACAAUGGGGGAAACCCUGAUCCAGCAAUGCCGCGUGUGUGACGAAGGCCUUCGGGUUGUAAAGCACUUUUGGCGGGAACGAAACGGUGCUCUCUAAUACAGAGUGCUAAUGACGGUACCCGCAGAAUAAGCACCGGCUAACUACGUGCCAGCAGCCGCGGUAAUACGUAGGGUGCAAGCGUUAAUCGGAAUUACUGGGCGUAAAGCGUGCGCAGGCGGUUUCGUAAGACAGAUGUGAAAGCCCCGGGCUCAACCUGGGAAGUGCAUUUGUGACUGCGAGACUAGAGUGUGUCAGAGGGAGGUAGAAUUCCACGUGUAGCAGUGAAAUGCGUAGAGAUGUGGAGGAAUACCGAUGGCGAAGGCAGCCUCCUGGGAUAACACUGACGCUCAUGCACGAAAGCGUGGGGAGCAAACAGGAUUAGAAACCCGUGUAGUCC
This 450-nucleotide ribosomal RNA is filed under the name uncultured bacterium. RNAcentral's name for it is "bacterial SSU rRNA". It matches the Rfam family "Bacterial small subunit ribosomal RNA", at positions 354 to 796 of the family's 1533-position model. The record is from RNAcentral.